Molecule: ribosomal RNA, 848 nt
Filed under: uncultured Gammaproteobacteria bacterium
Lineage: Bacteria; Pseudomonadati; Pseudomonadota; Gammaproteobacteria
Description: bacterial SSU rRNA
Rfam family: Bacterial small subunit ribosomal RNA
Source: RNAcentral
GCUGGCGGUAUGCUUAACACAUGCAAGUCGAACGGAAACGAUACUAGCUUGCUAGUAGGCGUCGAGUGGCGGACGGGUGAGUAACGCGUAGGAAUCUGCCUGAUAGUGGGGGAUAGCCCGAAGAAAUUCGGAUUAAUACCGCAUAAUCUAUUCGUAGUAAAGUGGGGGACUUUCGAGCCUCACGCUAUCAGAUGAGCCUGCGUAAGAUUAGCUUGUUGGUAGGGUAAAAGCCUACCAAGGCGACGAUCUUUAGCUGGUCUGAGAGGAUGAUCAGCCACAUCGGGACUGAGACACGGCCCGAACUCCUACGGGAGGCAGCAGUGGGGAAUAUUGGACAAUGGGGGCAACCCUGAUCCAGCAAUACCGCGUGUGUGAAGAAGGCCUGAGGGUUGUAAAGCACUUUCAAUUGUGAAGAAAAGUUAGCGGUUAAUAACCGUUAGCCUUGACGUUAACUUUAGAAGAAGCACCGGCUAACUCCGUGCCAGCAGCCGCGGUAAUACGGAGGGUGCAAGCGUUAAUCGGAAUUACUGGGCGUAAAGCGUGCGUAGGUGGUUUAUUAAGUCAGAUGUGAAAGCCCCGGGCUUAACCUGGGAACUGCAUUUGAAACUGGUCAACUAGAGUAUGGUAGAGGAAAGUGGAAUUUCUGGUGUAGCGGUGAAAUGCGUAGAUAUCAGAAGGAACAUCAAUGGCGAAGGCAGCUUUCUGGACCAAUACUGACACUGAGGUACGAAAGCGUGGGUAGCAAACAGGAUUAGAUACCCUGGUAGUCCACGCCGUAAACGAUGAUAACUAGCCGUUGGGGGGAUUUACCCUUUAGUGGCGAAGCUAACGCGUUAAGUUAUCCGCCU